UGGGGAAUAUUGCACAAUGGGCGCAAGCCUGAUGCAGCAAUGCCGCGUGUGUGAAGAAGGCCUGCGGGUUGUAAAGCACUUUCAGUAAGGAGGAAAACUUACAGGUUAAUACCCUGUGAGCUUGACGUUACUUACAGAAGAAGCACCGGCUAACUCCGUGCCAGCAGCCGCGGUAAUACGGAGGGUGCGAGCGUUAAUCGGAAUUACUGGGCGUAAAGCGCGCGUAGGCGGCUUGGUAAGUCGGUUGUGAAAGCCCUGGGCUUAACCUGGGAAUUGCAUCCGAUACUGCCUGGCUAGAGUAUGGUAGAGGGUAGUGGAAUUCCUGGUGUAGCGGUGAAAUGCGUAGAUAUCAGGAGGAACAUCAGUGGCGAAGGCGGCUACCUGGACCAAUACUGACGCUGAGGUGCGAAAGCGUGGGGAGCAAACAGGAUUAGAUACCCGCGUAGUCC
This 449-nucleotide ribosomal RNA is filed under the name uncultured prokaryote. RNAcentral describes it as "bacterial SSU rRNA". It matches the Rfam family "Bacterial small subunit ribosomal RNA", at positions 355 to 796 of the family's 1533-position model. The record is from RNAcentral.